Molecule: long non-coding RNA, 253 nt
Filed under: Lathyrus oleraceus (garden pea)
Lineage: Eukaryota; Viridiplantae; Streptophyta; Magnoliopsida; Fabales; Fabaceae
Description: Pisum sativum (pea) long non-coding RNA (PSAT_LNC027441)
Source: RNAcentral
AUGGUUCUAAGUGUUAUGCAUGUAUUAUUUAGAAAUAGUUUUGAUGAUGAUAAAUUUCAAAAGGAUGUGGUGAUGGAAACUUUUAAAUAGUUGUGUUGAUGACAACGUCAAAUGAUUUUGAUCACGACAACUCUUUCAAAGGUUAACCUAAUCAGUCAAAUGUUUCAAGUUCAAGUAGAAAAUAUCAGACAAUGUUAAAUCAGGAAAAUGAACAUUGUAGUCAUGAAGUUGUGAACUCAAAUAUGUGAAAGUC